GGCUCGGUAGCUUAGUUGGUAAAGCGCUCGUCUAGCAUACAAGAGUCCAAUCCCAGCCG
RNAcentral lists this transfer RNA (59 nucleotides) under Aedes aegypti (yellow fever mosquito). The record is from Rfam by way of RNAcentral. Lineage: Eukaryota; Metazoa; Arthropoda; Insecta; Diptera; Culicidae.